AACGCACCUUGCGCUCCUCGGUGUUCCGAGGAGCAUGCCUGUUCGAGUGUCAGUAAAUUCUCAACCCCUCUCGAUUUGUUUCGAGCGGGCGUUUGGAUAGUGGGGGCUGCCGGAGACCUGGAUUUAUUUCGGGACUCGGGCUCUCCUGAAAUGCAUCGGCUUGCGGUCGACUUUCGACUUUGCAUGACAAGGCCUUCGGCGUGAUAAUGAUCGUCGUUAGCUGAAGUGCAUGAAUGAACCGUCCUGCGCCUCUAAUACGUCGACGCUUUCCAGCGUCUUCCUUAUUGACGUUUGACCUCGAAUCAGGUAGGACUACCCGCUGAACUUAA
This 329-nucleotide unclassified non-coding RNA is filed under the name uncultured Suillus. RNAcentral describes it as "sequence contains ITS2". The record is from RNAcentral. Lineage: Eukaryota; Fungi; Basidiomycota; Agaricomycetes; Boletales; Suillaceae.